GAAUUGCGAUAUGUAAUGUGAAUUGCAGAAUUCAGUGAAUCAUCGAAUCUUUGAACGCACCUUGCGCCCUUUGGUAUUCCGAAGGGCAUGCCUGUUUGAGUGUCAUUAAAUUCUCAACUUUGAAACAUUGUUUUGUUUUCAAAGCUUGGACUGUGGAGGCUUGCCGGCAAAGUAAUGUCAGCUCCUCUUAAAUGCAUCAGCAGAACCUUUUUGAUUUAAAAGGACUGGCUUCAGUUUGGUAAUUCUAUCUAUGCUGUCGCUGUUGACCUUUGUAUGUUCUGCUUCUAAUGGUCUUUGGACUGUCUCUAUGGAGGCAUACACUUUUAAGCUUGACCUCAAAUCAGGUAGGACUACCCGCUGAACUUAA
Molecule: unclassified non-coding RNA, 367 nt
Filed under: uncultured Ramariopsis
Lineage: Eukaryota; Fungi; Basidiomycota; Agaricomycetes; Agaricales; Clavariaceae
Description: sequence contains ITS1
Rfam family: 5.8S ribosomal RNA (bases 1-105)
Source: RNAcentral